This 592-nucleotide unclassified non-coding RNA is filed under the name Drosophila erecta. RNAcentral describes it as "GG20387". The record is from RNAcentral. Lineage: Eukaryota; Metazoa; Arthropoda; Insecta; Diptera; Drosophilidae.
AUUCAAAAUUGUGAACGCUUAUAGACCCUUUACAUGUUUUGAGUUUCUAUAGAAUGGUGUUCAUAUUCCACGUACCAUUAGGUACCAAAAUCCUAUCAAAUAUUCCCUUUUUUGUCAGAUAACUUGUGUGUGUGCUAUGUGGGCAACAAUAUUACAAGAUUUAAUGAUUAUAUAGAUACUUUAUUUAACUUUAACAACUUGUAAUAUGAAAUUGAAUUACUUAAGGAAGGUGGGUCUCCGCUGUGGAGUAGUGCCCAUUAAUCCCGUCCAAUUUCUACGCCGUAUUGCCAAAAAGUUUUAAUGGUUUGCUGGAGCGAGAAUUAUAUGGACAGAACCGAAAACCAAAGUUGCCUGGGUUUUCGGUUCUAGACCUGUGAAAAAUUAUCUAUCUGAACUCAUUUGAAUAUAUUCUAAAAACAAAAAAAAACAUUUAUAUGAUUGGCACGCUAUUUUCGAACUCGCAUACCUUGGAAAAGCCAAAAUUAUCAGCUCCAAAUGAAUCGUAUUUCAUCCUUCGCGUCGCCAGGCGAGUGAUGUCUUCAAUGGAGACCCCUUCAAAAUUCACUCGUACAACUUUCGCUAUGCCGACAAG